Long non-coding RNA from Phyllostomus discolor (pale spear-nosed bat), 952 nucleotides. RefSeq lists it as uncharacterized. The transcript is spliced from 2 exons. NCBI's taxonomy places the organism in Eukaryota, Metazoa, Chordata, Mammalia, Chiroptera, Phyllostomidae. The record is from RefSeq and is a predicted model, not a curated record.
CCCACAGCCAGAAAACGCAGGUGACCAGGAGGGGAGAAGGGGCUACACUUGCUGCCCCGUGUCCAGCACAUUCCCCUGCUGCCUCUGCUGGGACGGCCGGGCCUGGGGCGCUCCAAGUGUGGCCGGCGGGGACCCUGCUCCUCGGGCGCUGGGGGACGCUGCCCAGGAGCUCUGGGCCCCCGCGGAGGGGCACGGCCUGCGAUGCUGACCUGGGUAAGAACGAGACCUUGCUGUCCACUGUCUCCGCACUUGACCUUCCACCUGGCACUACCUGAGCACUGUCCCCCAUGUCCCCGGGCUUGCCUCCUCCCCGCCCCGGUGCCGUGCAGGACCAGCGCCUGUACCCCAGGGUCUUAGUCUGGCCACCUGGCCAACGCAGCCGGGGCUGCAGCGAACGUGGGACGUGUCGAGGGUCCGAGGGUAGAUUUGCGGGACCCGGAUAGCGUGGAAGUGUGGGUUGGAGGUCCGCGUCUCUGUGACGGCCUUCAGAACUGUGCCCGCCAGCAAAGCCCGAGGGGCCCACGCGCUGGCCAGCGGAGCCGGCAAGCGCCCCCUCGUUUCUGCCCAAACUAGCAUGUCCUGGGUGAGCCCCCACGUCCUGGAAGCCGGGGGGGGGGGGGGAGCGGCGGCUCUGUGUCCAGUCUGUGUCCCGCAGCCCGCCUGUCUGUGUCCUGUGGCCCUGUCCACAUCGAGAUGCUCCUUUUGUUGUUUCCGCUGUGUACGCGCUCAGAAUGUCACGAAUACUAACCGUGUGUCUUUUCCGUGUACUGCGGGUGUUUUCCUUCCACUGUGACUUGUCUCCUAGCUGUGUUUUCUUUCUUUUGUACAAAUGUGUCCUUUUCUGAUUGUAAAAGUACGAUGUGGUUUUUUUAGCAUAGAAAACCUGGAAAACGCAAAAGCGAAACAAAACGCAAAACCAAAGAAAUAAACGUUGCCAACCGCCUCCCCUGGA